This 294-nucleotide long non-coding RNA is filed under the name Helianthus annuus (common sunflower). Its description in RNAcentral is "sRNA HanXRQr2_Chr03g0113121". Lineage: Eukaryota; Viridiplantae; Streptophyta; Magnoliopsida; Asterales; Asteraceae. The record is from RNAcentral.
UUGACUCAAGCAUGGAUGGCUAUCGGGUCAAGAGGAAGCAAGGAGGCAAGCAUGAACAUGGAUGCUAAAGGUAUAUUAUUAUAUCCUAUGAAGAUUUAAUGAUUUGGAUGCGAGAUAGUACUCGGAAAGAUAAUCGAAAGGAUCAGCAUGAAUAGAAGAAUGCGGAAUGGUCAUUUAAUUGCGUAGGUUUGGAUUAUGAAUGAUGUUACCAAAAUAUUAAUGAUGUGCAUGUAUUUAGUAGUUGCAAGUUGCACGGAAUUAACAUCACUAUGGAAACUAAGAGGUUGAAGAUCG